AGCCACCCAGGAGCCCCUUAACUGCUGUUUUCCGUCAACCUUAUUACCAUUUUGUGUUUAGGAGUCUGCGAAAGAAUAGCUUAAGACAAUGCAGUGGCUGUUCCUACCCGGCGGGGUCUUCAGGGCCAUCUCAGUCGCCUGCUCAGCGCUCCAAUUGUCCUCAAAGAACUGCUGAAUAGGCCCAGAGGGCACUGCACGCCUUCAGGUGAAUCUGCAACCUCGGAUUGAGUAGCAGUAAAUUCGGGAGCUGGAGCAGUCCAGUCACCCUAAAAUUCCUCCUUGGUCACAGUCUUUUCAGCAGUGGUCUGCUCUUCCUUUUCUACCUUUUCAGGAUCUCCGUAGAAGGAGAGCUGGAGCCUGAGCUCCCGCAAGUGUUCACGGGAGAUGGCGCUGUACAUGCGCAGAAACUCCGGGACCAGCAUGCACCACAUCAGUACCACUAAAUGAGCUUUUUCUCUCUCCUUCUCUCUCUCUCUCUCUCUCUCUCUCUCUCUCUCUCUGUCUCUCUCUCUCUCAAUGUCUUUUUUCUCUCUUUUCUCUCUCUCUCUCUCUCUCUCUUUUUUUUUUUUUUUUUCUUGCAAGAGACAGCAAUGCCUGCAUAGUGCCAAGAAGAGUCUGGAUUACACAGAGCAAAGAAGUCAACCCACCUAACUGGAUUCCUGCUGCAAGGAAUUUGAGGACACCCUCCUCCUUCAUUUACAGAACAUCAAGGGCUCCAGGGAGGGUGACGUUUCCCCUUCAACUUACAAUGGGAAUCCAGAACAAUGCCAUAUGGACUCCUUUCUGUUGAACGUUGAGUGAGCUUGGCUUCAAAGCAAGCAUGAUGAACAAGAAACAUGGCUAGUGGACAUGAGGAGGAAACGAGGACCAUACGAGAGAGAAAAACAGAAAAUCAUAUUUUAAUUGGGCUGUGAAGUUGGAUGCAGGCCUACAAGAACUCAUAGGAAAAAGAUACAUAAUUCCAAAAAGACUUACAGAUCCUUGAAGAAAUGACUUGUUCUAAGGCUGAAAUUGAGAAAAUACAAGAAAUCCCAGCUGAGAACUCGGAAGUGUAGAAAGAAAAUUAUUUUUCUUCCUUUACUGUUUUCACUCUCAGAAACUGGAUAAAUAAGAGUUGAAUAAAACUAAAGCAAGGGGAAGGAAGGCGAUAAUAAAGACAAAAGCAGAAAUUAAUACAACUUAAGGGAGAAGAGAAACAAUAGAGAAAACCAGCAUAACCAAAUGUUCUUUGAAAAGAUGUAUAAGCCAACUGACUUGUUGCUUGGAUCAAGAUGAUGAUAGAGUAGAGAUGGUGAGAAAUAGUCAGAUUCUGGAUAUGUUUUGAUGGUUGAGCCUAUAGGACUUUUGAUACAUUAGCAGAAGGCUAUGAGAAAAAGAAUCAGGGAUGUCUUCAAGGGUUUGGAUCUAAGCCACUAGGAAAAUACAUUUGCCAUACACCAAUAAAAGGAAAACAGAAGAAGGAGCAGGUUUAGGAGGUACAUCAGUCAAGAUAUGUUUUUUCUCUGAACAUGACAGAGGAAACCAUAUAAAAAUUACUUUAACAUUAUGUAAGUUUAUAGUAUAGCUCAUGUAAAACAAGUCUGGAGAGAGAUAAUCAAAAUAUCAUUGGAGAUUCAAAAUCACAUAUUUAUGCUCUGCUGUCCUGGCACAUGUUUCUCCUUCUCAAUUUCAACUGUUGUUAUUCAGAUGAGACCAAAUCCAGUAAAUAUGUGCUCAUUCAAGCUGAAAGAAGGAAAUUCAGGCUCUCUUUAUGGGAACCCUUUCAAUUGUGUUAGUUCUCUUUAAGCAGCCACGCUGAAAGUCCCAUGUAAUAGAUCCAUUGACAUCACAUUGGUUAGAGUUAGAUGCAGGACAAGCCCUUUUGCAAAAAAGGCUCUAGACAAAGUAAUAUCUGAUACUGGACACUGAUCUAUUCAACUAAAACCAUGGCUCCAGAGGGCACAUGCUAAAAAUUCUGUGGAAUAAGAAGGAGAGGGAGAUGGAGAUUAGGAAAUAUACAGAGCCACAUGGGGAUAAAAUAUGGCAAUGAGAAAAUCUUGGAAAUUCUGUGAUAGAUGCACACAGUGAUAUGACAUAAUGACAUGAAGAACAGUAUGAGAAAUGUUAGCAUUUGUAGUGAUCCAAAGGCAGCAAUCUAACAAUCUAGCCUAGUCAAAAAGCCAGUCAGAUGGUCACAAACAUUUUGAAAGAGAAAAUUCAGGUGUUAAAGAACAGGAUAGAAGUAAGAAAAAAAAAAAACAAACAGGCAAAAGAGUUUGAAGGAGAAGACAGAAGACAGAAUCUGGAAAAAUUAUCUGAAAAGGAGCAGCAAAGACUCCACAGAGUGCUUGUAGACCAAGGUAUGGAGUGGAAAGGAGAGGGGAACAGUAACUUGUACUAAAAACUUUGGUCAUUGUUGCAAAUCUAAUUUCAAUUAUAGAACAGCUCCUAUAUACCAUCCAUGGUACAGAUGGGACACAGUUACAUCUUUAUCACUAAUUACUGGUAACUAACAAUUAUUGGUAAUGUUGGUA
Molecule: long non-coding RNA, 2513 nt
Organism: Leopardus geoffroyi (Geoffroy's cat)
Lineage: Eukaryota; Metazoa; Chordata; Mammalia; Carnivora; Felidae
Exons: 6
Source: RefSeq, a predicted model, not a curated record